CUUUGAGGGAUUUUAUUAUUUAAAAAAAUAGAUUUAAUCAGUAAAAAUCUGAAUGAACAGGAAAUGUAAAGAGUGGCAGGUCAGGCAGCAUCUGUGGGGAGAGAUUCAGAUGGAAUGACUGGGACCUGGUAAAAUAAAUCUGUAUCUGUAAGACACCCCUGCCAAGGAGAAGGAUUUUAUACAAUAUACACCUCUCAUAAUUUUGUAAACUUCUCAAAUGAA
Amblyraja radiata (thorny skate) is the source of this 222-nucleotide long non-coding RNA. RefSeq lists it as uncharacterized. The record is from RefSeq and is a predicted model, not a curated record. NCBI's taxonomy places the organism in Eukaryota, Metazoa, Chordata, Chondrichthyes, Rajiformes, Rajidae. The transcript is spliced from 2 exons.